GCCUCAGUAACGGCGAGUGAAGCGGCAACAGCCCAGAUUUGAAAUCUGGCCCUCGGGCCCGAGUUGUAAUCUGCAGAUGAGUCUUCCGGCAGAGCGCCGUCCAAGUGCCCUGGAACGGGCCGCCGGAGAGGGUGAGAGCCCCGUACCGACGCGCGCCGAGCCUCUGUGAAGCUCAUUCGAAGAGUCGAGUAGUUUGGAAAUGCUGCUCUAAUUGUGGGGUAAAUCUCCCAUAAGGCUAAAUACCGGCCAGAGACCGAUAGCGCACAAGUAGCGUGAGCGAAAGAUGAAAAGAGCCUUGAACAAGGGCGUCAAAAAGCAUGUGAAAUUGUUGUGGGGGAAGCGUUCGAUGCCAGACAUGGCGGCGGUUGGUUACCCGGCGUUCUUCGCCGGCGCACUCUGCCGUCGCCAGGCCAGCAUCAGUUUGGAUCGAGGCCCACUGCCAGCGGGAACGUGGCUCUUUCGGGAGUGUUAUAGCCCGUUGGUAACGUCUCGGACCAGACUGAGGACCGCGCUUCGGCUCGGAUGCUGGCGUAAUGGCCUCUAGCGACCCGUCUUGAAACACGGACCAAGGAGUUGACCUAGCGUGCGAGUGUUUGGGUGUCAAGCCCUUACGCGCAGUGAAAGCGAAUGCAGGUGGGAGCUUCGGCGCACCAUCGACCGAUCCUGAAGUUUACGGAUGGAUUUGAGUAAGAGCACGUUGGGUCUGACCCGAAAGAAGGUGAACUAUGCAUGAAUAGGGUGAAGCCAGAGGAAACUCUGGUGGAGGCUCGCAGCGGUUCUGACGUGCAAAUCGAUCGUCAAAUUUGUGCAUGGGGGCGAAAGAC
RNAcentral lists this ribosomal RNA (824 nucleotides) under Phaeoisaria sp. JB-2020a. RNAcentral describes it as "partial large subunit ribosomal RNA". It matches the Rfam family "Eukaryotic large subunit ribosomal RNA", at positions 77 to 931 of the family's 3401-position model. The record is from RNAcentral. Lineage: Eukaryota; Fungi; Ascomycota; Sordariomycetes; Pleurotheciales; Pleurotheciaceae.